Molecule: ribosomal RNA, 440 nt
Filed under: uncultured bacterium
Lineage: Bacteria
Description: partial 16S ribosomal RNA
Rfam family: Bacterial small subunit ribosomal RNA
Source: RNAcentral
CCUACGGGCGGCAGCAGUGGGGAAUAUUGCACAAUGGGCGAAACCCUGAUGCAGCGACGCCGCGUGAGUGAAGAAGUAAUUCGUUAUGUAAAGCUCUAUCAGCAGGGAAGUAAAUGACGGUACCUGUGGAAGAAGCUCCGUCUAACUACGUGCCAGCAGCCGCGGUAAUACGUAGGGGGCCAGCGUUAUCCGGAUUUACUGGGUGUAAAGGGAGCGUAGACGGCAGUGCAAGUCUGGAGUGAAAGGCGGGGGCUCAACCCCCGGACUGCAGUGGAAACUGUCCGGCUGGAGUGCAGGAGAGGUAAGUGGAAUUCGUAGUGUAGCGGUGAAAUGCGUAGAUAUUAGGAGGAACUCCGGUUGCGAAGGCGGCUUACUGGACUGUAACUGACGCUGAGGCUCGAAAGCGUGGGGAGCAAACAGGAUUAGAUACCCUAGUAGUC